CCUACGGGCGGCAGCAGUGGGGAAUAUUGCACAAUGGGCGCAAGCCUGAUGCAGCCAUGCCGCGUGUGUGAAGAAGGCCUUCGGGUUGUAAAGCACUUUCAGCGGGGAGGAAGGCGUUAAGGUUAAUAACCUUGUCGAUUGACGUUACCCGCAGAAGAAGCACCGGCUAACUCCGUGCCAGCAGCCGCGGUAAUACGGAGGGUGCAAGCGUUAAUCGGAAUUACUGGGCGUAAAGCGCACGCAGGCGGUCUGUCAAGUCGGAUGUGAAAUCCCCGGGCUCAACCUGGGAACUGCAUUCGAAACUGGCAGGCUAGAGUCUUGUAGAGGGGGGUAGAAUUCCAGGUGUAGCGGUGAAAUGCGUAGGGAUCUGGAGGAAUACCGGUGGCGAAGGCGGCCCCCUGGACAAAGACUGACGCUCAGGUGCGAAAGCGUGGGGAGCAAACAGGAUUAGAUACCCGGGUAGUC
Molecule: ribosomal RNA, 465 nt
Filed under: uncultured Klebsiella sp.
Lineage: Bacteria; Pseudomonadati; Pseudomonadota; Gammaproteobacteria; Enterobacterales; Enterobacteriaceae
Description: bacterial SSU rRNA
Rfam family: Bacterial small subunit ribosomal RNA
Source: RNAcentral